This 291-nucleotide ribosomal RNA is filed under the name uncultured bacterium. Its description in RNAcentral is "partial 16S ribosomal RNA". It matches the Rfam family "Bacterial small subunit ribosomal RNA", at positions 773 to 1060 of the family's 1533-position model. The record is from RNAcentral.
GUGGAUUAGAUACCCCGGUAGUCCACGCCGUAAACGAUGAGUGUUAGAUGUUGCGGGCUUUGACUCCUGCAGCGUCGUAGCUAACGCAUUAAACACUCCGCCUGGGAAGUACGGCCGCAAGGCUAAAACUCAAAGGAAUUGACGGGGGCCCGCACAAGCGGUGGAGCAUGUGGUUUAAUUCGACGCAACGCGAAGAACCUUACCUGGGCUAGAAAACAUAGGAACCUGGUAGAAAUAUCGGGGUGCUCUUCGGAGAAUCUAUGGUUAGGUGCUGCACGGUUGUCGACAGCU